RNAcentral lists this ribosomal RNA (388 nucleotides) under uncultured bacterium. RNAcentral's name for it is "bacterial SSU rRNA". It matches the Rfam family "Bacterial small subunit ribosomal RNA", at positions 28 to 417 of the family's 1533-position model. The record is from RNAcentral.
GACGAACGCUGGCGGCGUGCUUAACACAUGCAAGUCGAGCGGUAAGGCCCCUUCGGGGGUACACGAGCGGCGAACGGGUGAGUAACACGUGGGUGACCUGCCCUCAGCUCUGGGAUAAGCCUGGGAAACUGGGUCUAAUACCGGAUAUGACUCCAUGACGCAUGUCGUGGGGUGGAAAGCCUUGUGCGGCUGGGGAUGGGCCCGCGGCCUAUCAGCUUGUUGGUGGGGUGAUGGCCUACCAAGGCGACGACGGGUAGCCGGCCUGAGAGGGCGACCGGUCACACUGGGACUGAGACACGGCCCAGACUCCUACGGGAGGCAGCAGUGGGGAAUCUUGCGCAAUGGGCGAAAGCCUGACGCAGCGACGCCGCGUGAGGGAUGACGGCCU